GAUGAACGCUGGCGACGUGCCUAAUACAUGCAAGUCGAACGAAGUCUUCGGACUUAGUGGCGAACGGGUGAGUAACACGUUGGUACCUACCCCGAAGUGGGGAAUAACUGCCCGAAAGGGUGGCUAAUACCGCAUAAUACCGCAAGGUUAAAGCAGUAAUGCGCUUCGGGAGGGGCCUGCGUCCCAUUAGCUAGUUGGUAGGGUAAUGGCCUACCAAGGCGACGAUGGGUAGCUGGAUCGAGAGGUUGACCAGCCACACUGGGACUGAGAUACGGCCCAGACUCCUACGGGAGGCAGCAGUAAGGAAUCUUCCACAAUGGACGAAAGCCUGAUGGAGCAACGCCGCGUGCAGGAUGACGGCCUUCGGGUUGUAAACUGCUUUUAUACGGGAAGAUUAUGACGGUACCGUAUGAAUAAGGACCGGCUAACUACGUGCCAGCCGCCGCAGUAA
Molecule: ribosomal RNA, 451 nt
Filed under: uncultured bacterium
Lineage: Bacteria
Description: partial 16S ribosomal RNA
Rfam family: Bacterial small subunit ribosomal RNA
Source: RNAcentral